Molecule: ribosomal RNA, 253 nt
Filed under: uncultured bacterium
Lineage: Bacteria
Description: partial 16S ribosomal RNA
Rfam family: Bacterial small subunit ribosomal RNA
Source: RNAcentral
UACGGGGGGGGCAAGCGUUGUUCGGAAUUACUGGGCGUAAAGGGCGCGUAGGUGGCCAACUAAGUCAGACGUGAAAUCCCUCGGCUUAACCGGGGAACUGCGUCUGAUACUGGAUGGCUUGAGUUUGGGAGAGGGACGCGGAAUUCCAGGUGUAGCGGUGAAAUGCGUAGAUAUCUGGAGGAACACCGGUGGCGAAGGCGGCGUCCUGGACCAAUACUGACACUGAAACGCGAAAGCCUGGGGAGCAAACGGG